RNAcentral lists this ribosomal RNA (1006 nucleotides) under uncultured bacterium. RNAcentral describes it as "bacterial SSU rRNA". It matches the Rfam family "Bacterial small subunit ribosomal RNA", at positions 8 to 1010 of the family's 1533-position model. The record is from RNAcentral.
AGAGUUUGAUCAUGGCUCAGAUUGAACGCUGGCGGAAUGCUUUACACAUGCAAGUCGAACGAUGAACCUUAGCUUGCUAGGGGGAUUAGUGGCGAACGGGUGAGUAAUAUAUCGGAACGUGCCUUGUAAUGGGGGAUAACUAGUCGAAAGAUUAGCUAAUACCGCAUACGCCCUGAGGGGGAAAGUAGGGGAUCUUCGGACCUUACGUUAUAAGAGCGGCCGAUAUCUGAUUAGCUAGUUGGUGGGGUAAUGGCCUACCAAGGCGACGAUCAGUAGCUGGUCUGAGAGGACGACCAGCCACACUGGAACUGAGACACGGUCCAGACUCCUACGGGAGGCAGCAGUGGGGAAUUUUGGACAAUGGGCGCAAGCCUGAUCCAGCCAUUCCGCGUGAGUGAAGAAGGCCUUCGGGUUGUAAAGCUCUUUCGCAAGGGAAGAAAACUUACCAUCGAAUAAAUGGUGAGGCUGACGGUACCUUGAUAAGAAGCACCGGCUAACUACGUGCCAGCAGCCGCGGUAAUACGUAGGGUGCGAGCGUUAAUCGGAAUUACUGGGCGUAAAGCGUGCGCAGGCGGUUUGGCAAGUCAGAUGUGAAAUCCCCGAGCUCAACUUGGGAACUGCGUUUGAAACUGCCAGACUAGAAUAUGUCAGAGGGGGGUAGAAUUCCACGUGUAGCAGUGAAAUGCGUAGAGAUGUGGAGGAAUACCAAUGGCGAAGGCAGCCCCCUGGGAUAAUAUUGACGCUCAUGCACGAAAGCGUGGGGAGCAAACAGGAUUAGAUACCCUGGUAGUCCACGCCCUAAACGAUGUCUACUAGUUGUUGGUGGAGUAAAAUCCAUGAGUAACGCAGCUAACGCGUGAAGUAGACCGCCUGGGGAGUACGGUCGCAAGAUUAAAACUCAAGGAAUUGACGGGGCCCGCACAAGCGGUGGAUUAUGUGGAUUAAUUCGAUGCAACGCGAAAACCUUACCUGGCCUUGACAUGCCACUAACGAAGCAGAGAAUGCA